Molecule: non-coding RNA, 72 nt
Organism: Podarcis lilfordi (Lilford's wall lizard)
Lineage: Eukaryota; Metazoa; Chordata; Lepidosauria; Squamata; Lacertidae
Source: the annotation of a GenBank genome assembly
GGUGUGUGUGUGUGUAUACAUACAUAUAUACAUAUAUACACAUAUAUACAUAUACACACACACACACACACA